GUCCAAUCCGACCUGAGGAGUCACAGUUGUGAGCAAGUUCGGUGCCGCGGGCUGGGAUUAGAAUUACUUGUUAUUGGUAAAUAGCCACUAUGGAGACUAAGGACCAGAAGAAACAAAGAAAGAAAAAUAGUGGACCCAAAGCUGCAAAGAAAAAGAAGCGGCAUCUGCAGGAUCUCCAGCUAGGAGACGAAGAAGAUGCCUGGAAGAGAAAUCCCAAAGCUUUUGCAUUUCAGUCUGCUGUGUGGAUGGCUCGAUCCUUUCACAGGACUCAGGAUUUGAAGACAAAAAAGCAUCAUAUUCCAGUGGUUGAUCGAACUCCACUAGAGCCCCCACCAAUAGUGGUAGUGGUGAUGGGGCCUCCAAAGUUGGAAAGAGCACUUUGAUACAAUGCCUCAUUCGGAACUUCACCCGGCAGAAGUUGACCGAGAUCAGAGGCCCUGUGAUGAUCGUGUCAGGUAAAAAGCUCCGACUCACCAUUAUUGAAUGUGGGUGUGACAUUAACAUGAUGAUUGAUCUGGCUGAAGUAGCAGAUCUGGUACUGAUGCUUAUAGAUGCCAGCUUUGGGUUUGAAAUGGAAACGUUUGAGUUUCUAAACAUCUGUCAAGUACAUGGCUUUCCUAAAAUUAUGGGAGUUCUCACCCACCUCGACUUCUUCAAACACAAUAAGCAACUGAAGAAGACAAAGAAGCGAUUAAAACACAGGUUCUGGACAGAAGUUUACCUGGUUGCCAAGCUGUUCUGCCUUUCUGGAAUGGUGCAUGGAGAAUAUCAAAACCAAGAAAUGCACAAUCUGGGCCAUUUUAUUACAGUUAUGAAGUUUAGGCCUCUCACAUGGCAGACUUCUCAUCCUUAUAUCCUGGCAGACAGGGUGGAAGAUUUGACAAACCCAGAGGAUAUCCAAACAAACAUCAGAUGUGACCAGCAGAUGUUACUUUACGGUUAUUUAAGAGGAGCGCACUUGAAAAAUAAAAGCCAAAUUCACAUGCCAGGACGAGGUGGGGCCCACCCAUGAGCUGGUCCAGAGUCUCAUCUCCACCCACUCCACCAUUGAUGCCAAGAUGGCUUCAAGUCGAGUGAUGUUGUUUUCUGAUUCCAAGCCACUUGGGUCAGAGGCUAUAGAUAAUCAAGGGGACGAGUUCUCACUAUGUUGCCCAGGCUGGCCUCGAACUCCUGGGCUCAAGCAAUCCUCCUGCGUUGGCCUCCCAAAGUCCUGGGAUUACAGGUGUAAGCCACUACGGCUGGCCUAUUAUUGCUGUAUUCUAACUUAUUCAUCUCCUAUGUGUCAGAGAUGGCUUUGGAUUCCCCGUUCUGUGUGCUGCUGUCUGGCUCCUGAACCCAGCUGUAGAGGUGUGUCAAUCCCAACUGGUGAAGUACUGAGAGGAAGCUACACAAAAGGCAGCAAAGUAUUAGUGAGUGGUGUCAUUGAGCAAACACGAAGUCGGGCUCAUCCAAGGAUGAGAUUUUGCCAGAGAAAGGACGAGCAGCAAGUCAGGGAGCUUAAGGAUGGAGUCUUGCUCUGUUGUCCAGGCAGGAGUGCCAUGGCACGAUCUUGGCUCACUGCAGUCUCUGCCUCUUGAGUUCCAGUAAUUCUCCUGCCUCAGCCUCCUGAGUAGCUGGGAUUACAGGCAUGCACCACCACACCCAGCUAAUUUUUGUAUUUUUAGUAGAGACAGGAUUUCACUACAUUAGCUAGGCUGGUCUCAAACUCCUGACCUCAGUUGAUCCACCUGCCUUGGCCUCCCAAAGUACUAGGGUUACAAGUGUGAGCCACCAUGCCCAGCUGAGAUCUGAUGGUUUUAUACAUGUUUGACAGUUGCUCCUUCACAUGUUGCCACUCUCUGUGCGGCCACCAUGUAAGUCGGACCUGCCCUUCUGCCAUGAUUGUAAGUUUCCUGAGGCCUCCCCAGCCAUGUGAAACUGAGUCAAUUAAACCUCUUCCCUUUAAAAAUUACCCAACCUCAGGUAUUUCUUUAUAUCAGUGUGAAAACAGAUUGCUAUACUUUCUGAUAAUCAUGCUUAAGCAAUUGGGGAAUUCAGACUACCUGGGAUCAAACCAGGGCCCCACCCUUAGCAGUCAUGUGACCUUGGGGAGGUUACUUACCUUCUCCGUCUCAACAACUUCUGUAAAAUCUGUAACAUGAGAUUGUUUCUGAGGGUUAAAUGAGCAUAGCACAGUGGGGACACUGUCAGGCACACACUACUUGCCAGAUGUCAAGUAUUCAUCUUUAUUGAAAUAGGACUGUGGUAAGCCACUUUAUGGCUCUCGAUUCUGUAUGAGAAAAUCAUGCUUAGUGCCUUGUUAGUAAAAGAAAGAAAAUCUGAAAGUCCCUGCCAUGGAAGGAAGAAAUAGCGGGGAGAAAAGGGAGUUGGUAAGUUUCAGCAUUUCAGAGCUUGGAGGGACAAGUUAGGUUUCUAUUUUAUGGAGAAGGAGGUGGAGGCAGGAUGGGUCCUAAGGUGUCAUUCAAAACACACAGCCAUAACUCUUUAUUGAGAGUAGAGCUAGGGCCGCAGGGAUUGCUGUGGUCACGUUGCGGACAAAAAUGACCACUCGUUGGAAGACAGGAGAGGAGUGUUUAGUUACAAAAGCAGUCAACAAUUCAGGUGUAUCUAUAUUCAGUCAGCAAAUAAAAGUUGUUCAACUUGGUUGCUAAUGGGACCCACUCUACUGAGGCUUUGUAUAGAACUCAUAGAGGAAGAUGGCUUCAAGCAAUGAACUACCCUGUGCUUUUCUUAGGACUAAAAUCUCAGGAAGUUGGUGAUGAAUGAAAACCUUAGUCCCACUGGCACUGCACGAGGGGCCAGGAGAGCAGCAGCAUCAUAAGCCACAGGGUGGGGCAGCCAAGGCAGGGGCAUUCUGAGCUGUUGGGGAGGGGUGGCAGGCAGGGUGGGGCACUGUGAGGUGUCGGGGAGGGCAUUGUGAAGUGUGGGGUGGGGCAUUCUGUGCCACAUGCCUGGGCUCCCACCUGGGGCCAGUGGGCUUCAGUCUGUAGGUGACUACAGAAGGAGGAGGAGCUCCGUCUGUUCUCUCUUCAGGCAGUUGUUGUGUCUCUCAGCGCUUGUUGGGUUCACAACCUAUUAAAUAAGCCAGCUGGUCUUCACCCUCCCAGACAAGUCAACUCAGGGGAGGCAGCAGGGUGUGGGCCUUGACCCGCAGCCCUAGCCGGGGCCGGGGCCGGGGCCAGGGAUGGUGCCCGGGGCCGCGCUGUGAGGUGGGCAGGCGAGGAGCGGGAAGACCAUCUCUGCAAGUGCAGCAUAGCCUCGGCCUAGGACAGUGGGAGUGUGUGGCCAAAGCUGUGAGCAGAGGCACAGGUGGUGGCAGACAGUAGAGGCGCCCCAUGGGGAACAUACUGACCUGUUGUGUGCACCCUAGCGUCAGCCUCGAGUUUGACCAGCAACAGGGGUCGGUGUGUCCCUCUGAAUCUGAGAUCUAUGAGGCAGGAGCUGGGGACAGGAUGGCAGGAGCGCCCAUGGCUGCUGCUGUGCAGCCUGCUGAGGUGACCGUUGAAGUUGGUGAGGACCUCCACAUGCACCACAUUCGUGACCAGGAGAUGCCUGAAGCUUUGGAGUUUAGCCUUUCUGCCAAUCCAGAGGCAAGCACAAUAUUCCAGAGGAACUCUCAAACAGAUGCUUUGGAGUUUAACCCUUCUGCCAAUCCAGAGGCAAGCACAAUAUUCCAGAGGAACUCUCAAACAGAUGUUGUAGAAAUAAGAAGAAGCAACUGUACAAACCAUGUAUCUACUGAGCGUUUCAGUCAACAAUACAGCUCGUGUUCGACAAUAUUCCUUGAUGACAGCACAGCCAGCCAGCAUUAUCUUACAAUGACAAUAAUAUCUGUGACCUUGGAGAUACCUCAUCAUAUCACACAAAGAGAUGCAGAUAGAUCUUUGAGCAUACCUGAUGAACAGUUACACUCAUUUGCGGUUUCCACCGUGCACAUUACGAAGAACAGAAAUGGAGGUGGGAGUUUAAAUAACUAUUCCUCCUCCAUUCCAUCGACUCCCAGCACCAGCCAGGAGGACCCUCAGUUCAGUGUUCCUCCCACUGCCAACACACCCACCCCCGUUUGCAAGCGGUCCAUGCGCUGGUCCAACCUGUUUACAUCUGAGAAAGGGAGUCACCCAGACAAAGAGAGGAAAGCCCCGGAGAAUCAUGCUGACACCAUCGGGAGCGGCAGAGCCAUCCCCAUUAAACAGGGCAUGCUCUUAAAGCGAAGUGGGAAAUGGCUGAAGACAUGGAAAAAGAAAUACGUCACCCUGUGUUCCAAUGGCGUGCUCACCUAUUAUUCAAGCUUAGGUGAUUAUAUGAAGAAUAUUCAUAAAAAAGAGAUUGACCUUCGGACAUCUACCAUCAAAGUCCCAGGAAAGUGGCCAUCCCUAGCCACAUCGGCCUGUGCACCCAUCUCCAGCUCUAAAAGCAAUGGCCUAUCCAAGGACAUGGACACCGGGCUGGGUGACUCCAUAUGCUUCAGCCCCAGUAUCUCCAGCACCACCAGCCCCAAGCUCAACCCGCCCCCCUCUCCUCAUGCCAAUAAAAAGAAACACCUAAAGAAGAAAAGCACCAACAACUUUAUGAUUGUGUCUGCCACUGGCCAAACAUGGCACUUUGAAGCCACGACGUAUGAGGAGCGGGAUGCCUGGGUCCAAGCCAUCCAGAGCCAGAUCCUGGCCAGCCUGCAGUCAUGCGAGAGCAGUAAAAGCAAGUCCCAGCUGACCAGCCAGAGCGAGGCCAUGGCCCUGCAGUCGAUCCAAAACAUGCGUGGGAACGCCCACUGUGUGGACUAUGAGACCCAGAAUCCUAAGUGGGCCAGUUUGAACUUGGGAGUCCUCAUGUGUAUUGAAUGCUCAGGAAUCCACCGCAGUCUUGGCACCCGCCUUUCCCGUGUGCGAUCUCUGGAGCUGGAUGACUGGCCAGUUGAGCUCAGGAAGGUUAUGUCAUCUAUUGGCAAUGACCUAGCCAACAGCAUCUGGGAAGGGAGCAGCCAGGGGCAGACAAAACCCUCAGUAAAGUCCACGAGGGAAGAGAAGGAACGGUGGAUCCGUUCCAAAUAUGAGGAGAAGCUCUUUCUGGCCCCACUACCCUGCACUGAGCUGUCCCUGGGCCAGCACCUGCUGCGGGCCACCGCUGAUGAGGACCUGCAGACAGCCAUCCUGCUGCUGGCACAUGGCUCCCGUGAGGAGGUGAACGAGACCUGUGGGGAGGGAGACGGCUGCACGGCGCUCCAUCUGGCCUGCCGCAAGGGGAAUGUGGUCCUGGCACAGCUCCUGAUCUGGUACGGGGUGGACGUCAUGGCCCGAGAUGCCCACGGGAACACAGCGCUGACCUACGCCCGGCAGGCCUCCAGCCAGGAGUGCAUCAACGUGCUUCUGCAGUACGGCUGCCCCGACGAGUGCGUGUAGUAUCUGUUUUAUUUGACUGCAGUCUCCUUGGUGCAAAAACAAAAUGGGAAAAAUAAGGAUAACUCAGAAUUUCAAAAGGAAAUCACAAAUUCAGCUAGUAAUAGCAUUUUCAGUACUUUUCAUAAACUAAGUAAAUACACAAAAUGUUGAUUUUUCUGACCAUAAGACAUAUUUUAUGUCCUUUUGCCAAGGUGGAUGUGUUAGUCUCAGGCCCUCCUGGCCACAUUGCCCAAGUCACACAGGCUUCUGUAUUAUGUAUUUAGAUAAAAUGUGUGAAAAUAUAUUUGAAAAAAAAGUUCAUAAAUAUGCAUUGAUUUUUGUACACAUGGCACCUCUUUUUCAUUUUUAUUUUUAUUUUUUUUUUGGACGAUGUUUUGCUCUGUUGCCCCAGCUGGAGUGCAGUGGCAUGAUAUCUGCUCACUGCAAGCUCUGCCUCCCGGAUUCACACCAUUCUCCUGCCUCAGCCUCUCAGGUAGCUGGGACUACAGGUGCCUGCCACCACACCUGGCUAAUUUUUUGUAUUUUUAGUAGAGACGUGGUUUCACCAUGUUAGCCAGGAUGGUCUCGAACUCCUGACCUCGUGAUCCACCUGCCUCGGCCUCCCAAAGUGUUGGGAUUACGGGCGUGAGCCACCGUACCCGGCCCAUGGCACCUCUCUUAAUUUAUAAAUUGAACUGGAUGUGAAGUAAUAAUGUCAGCUAGUUGAGAUAAGAGGGUUACAGUUCGGCUGGGCGCAGUGGCUCACACCUGUAAUCCUAGCACUUUGGGAGGCUUAGGCGGACUGAUCACCAGGUCAGGAGAUUGAGACCAUCCUGGCUAACAUCAUGAAACCCCAUCUCUACUAAAAAAUACAAAAAAUUAGCUGGGCAUGGCCGGGCGUGGUGGCUCACACCUGUAAUCCCAGCACUUUGGGAGGCCGAGGCAGGCGGAUCACGAGGUCAGGAGAUCAAGACCAUCCUGGCUAACAUGGUGAAACCCCGUCUCUACUAAAAAUACAAAAAAAAAAAAAAAAAUUAGCCAGGUGUGGUGGCAGGCACCUGUAGUCCCAGCUACUCGGGAGGCUGAGGCAGGAGAAUGGUGUGAACCCAGGAGGCGGAGCUUGCAAUGAGCUGAGAUUGCACCACUGCACUCCAGCCUGGGCAACCAAGCGAGACUCCAUCUCAAAAAAAAAAAAAAAAUUAGCUGGGCAUGGUGGCGGGCACCUGUAGUCCCAGCUACUUGGGAGGCUGAGGCAGGAGAAUGGCAUGAACUCAGGAGGCAAAGCUUGCAGUGAGCAGAGACUGUGCCACUGCACUCCAGCCUGGGCAACAGAGCGAGACUCUGUCUCAAAAAAAAAAAAGAAAAGAAAAAGAGGGUUACAGAUCAUUGCACAUGGAAAAUAUUCCCAGCAGUAAACACUUCCAUUAAUGUGAUCUACAGCUUUUAAAAAGGAGCAUCUCAGAAUAAGAUGGUGGUACAAUUUGCUUAUUGAGAAAGGAAAAAAAAAACACACGAGUAUAUUACAAAGGGAAAAGAAGGAAUGUGAUUUCUCAUGAUUGAAAGCUUGAUUUAGAUUGCAUACAGCUUUUGCUACCCAAGACCAAGCGGCUCUGGCAAGACAGGGUGGUUUUCCGAAUGCCAGACCGAGGUGCCUUAUGAAGGCAGCUGCCGAUGGUUCCAGAUGUAGAGAGAUAGGUGAUGCAGGAGGGAAAGCUGGAUUGGAAAAGGGAGAGUUUUGUAGACCGGCUACACUCAUUGUGCCUUUGAAAGAGCAGAGCCGGCAGCCUCUAGUCAUCAUUUGGAUAUACAGGACUGGAGCAUGAAUCUGAUGUAGAGCUACAGAAUGAAGAGCAACAGCAGCUGUUUAAAUACCGAGAAAGUGUGUAGAAUGAAAUUGGACAAGCCAAGCAUGGUGGUUUCAUGCCUUUAGUCCUAGCUACUUCGGAGGCUGAGGUGGGGGAAUUACUUGAGCUCAGCAGUUUGAGUCCAGCCUGGGCCAGAUGUUGAGACCCUGUAUCUUAAGAAAAGAAAAAAAUAAGACCAGGUACAGUAUCUCAUGCCUGUAAUCCCAGCACUUUGGGAGGCCAAGUUGAGAGGACUGCUCGAGUGUAGGAGUUCAAGACCAGACUGGGCAAUAAAGUGAGACCCAUUUCUUUUUUUUUUUUUUUUAACUUCUUAAAUGCACAAAUUUAUUUUUUCUCAACAAACACACAUCUUAAUGCCUUUACAACUUUUAUCUCCCCAAAUAUAUCUUGCUUUUCUUUAUAUGUGCUGUAUACAGAGUUGUUUUCCUUAUAUUUAGUAGUUAUUGCUUUUUUGUGCCCUUUUGCGUCCUGAAUUUACACAUCAGGCAUAGAUCUUGGGACAGGAAAGAGCUGUGAAGCAAAUUCCUGGAAAAUCAAACCCCUUCCAGCAUGGCCAGGUAGCACAGCUGAGCCAGGGAUGAUGGGGCCAUAUUGGGUUUGGCUCUGCCUUGCAGCUGGCAGUCCAAACACUGAGGACAUGCAUAUUUCUGCAGGCCAGUGAGACCCAUUUCUACCAAAAAAAAAAAAAAAAAAUCAAGAAAUUAGCUGGACAUGGUGGCACAUGCCUGUGGCCCCAGUUACAUGGCAUGGCAGGCUGAGGCAGGAAGAUCACUUGAGCCCAGGAGGUGGAGGCUGCAGUGACCCAUAUACAUGCCACUGCACUCCAGCCUGGGCAACAGAGUGAGACCCUCUCUCAAAAACAGAUAAAGUGGACAGAAAAUAGGUUGGUAAGGACUAAUCAUUUAAGGGACAAGCCCCCAGAAGAGUGGCUACUAGAGUGGGAGGAGGAAAAGCAGAAGGAGAAAGAGUUGAAGACAGGCGAGGCUGUGGUCCCAGUGCUGAAUUCUGCCAAGCAGUGACUUGAUUCAUGAACACUCACUGGAUGCUGACUCUGUUGCUCUUCUGAGUGCUGGGGUAGAGGAGAGGAGAGGUGGAGCCCAGUUCUUGCUUUUAGGAGCUUAUGUUCUAGGAAGUUCAAGUAUUUUUUCAGGUAGUAUGAAAUAGCAGGAAGAGGAAGCAGGCUAAAGGGACACAGAGUGAUUGGGGGCUAUUUUAAGUAGAAUGAUAAGGAAGAGCCUGUCUAGAGAGCUAUUUGAACAAUGACCUGACUGAAGGGACAACAGAAAGCAGUGCUGACAUUACAGGUAGCAGGAUGACUGCCAAGACAGAAACGCAUUUCAUAUGUGUUUGAGGAACAAACAGCAAGGUGACCAGCAUGGGGAGAGUGAAGAAUGAGGGAAACCUUGAAUGAGAGUAAAGCAAUUCCAUCUUGGAGGCUAAUCUGCCAUAUUCUGAUUAAUCCCAGUUCCAAGAAUUCAUCUACAAUUUCUAUUUUAUCUUUUUAAAAAUAUUAUUUUUUAUUUUUUAUUUUUUGAGACAGUCUCACUCUGUCUCCCAGGUUGGACUGCAGUGGCACAAUCUCAGCUCACUGCAAACUUCACCUCCUGGGUUCAAGCGAUUCUCCUGCCUCAGCUUCCCGAGUAACUGGGAUUACAGGCGCCUGCCACCAUGCCUGGCUAAUUUUUGUAUUUUUAGUACAGAUGAGGUUUUACCAUGUUGGCCAGGCUGGUCUGGAACUCCUGACCUCAGGUGAUCCGCCCACCUUGGCCUCCCAAAGAGCUGGGAUUACAGGCGUGAGCCACCGUGUCUGGCCAUACACAUCCCUGCCGAAGCCCGCAUUACCCUUCCCCUAUGCUAUAGAAGCCCUGGGUCGGGGGGGUGGGGGUAAUGGCACAGGGAUCCACCAUCUUAUCUUGGUGCCAUCCCUGACUUGGCUUCUGUUCAUAAACGCCUAUUAAAUGUUUCUUUCUGAGAAACUGGAUUUGUCAGCCUCUUUCUUUGGUAUCUCAGGUUCCUUGGCCUUUGCGGGUAGGUUUAUAUAGACCUGCUCAGCACAGGACAGGCAGUUUCUCAAAAAAUUAAAAAUAGAAUUACCAAAUGAUCCAGCAAUAUCACUUCUGGGUAUAUAGCCAAAAUAAUUGAAAGCAAGGUCUCAUAGAAAUAUUUGUACACUGAUAUUUAUAGCAGUGGUAUUCACACUCAUCAAAAGAUGGAUGCAGCCUAAUUGUCCAUAGGCAGAUGAAUUGAUAAAAUGUGGUAUAUACAUACAAUAAAAUAUUCUUCAGCCUUAAAAAGGAAGGAAAUUCUAACACAUGCUACAACAUGGAUGAACAUUGAGGACAUUAUGCUAAGUGAAAUAAGCCAGUUAGAAAAAGACAAAUACUGUGUUCUUUCACUUAUGUGAAGCAUCCAGACUGAGUAAGCAAACUAAUAGAAACAGAAAGUAGAACGGGGGUUGCCAGGGACAUGGGGAAGGGAGAAAAUGGGAAGUUGCUUAGUGGAUAUAGAGUUUUGGUUUUGUCAGAUGAAAAAGUUCUGGAGAUUGGUUGCAUGGCAAUGUGAAUAUACUCUACAUUACCCAACCCAAGGGCUCUCCUUAACCCCUGUUCCGACUGCCACUUAGAAGUGGUUAAGGUAGUAAAUUUUAUGCAUAUUUUACCACAAUUCAAAAUAGAAUUAUUAUUUUUUUAUUAUAAUUUUUUGAGAUCCCUCACUCUGCUGCCCAGGCUGGAGUGCAAUGGCACCGUCUCGGCUCACUGCAACCUCUGCCUUCUGGGUUCAAGCGAUUCUCCUGCCUCAGCCUCUCAAGUAGCUGGAACUUACAGGCACAUGCCACCAUGCCCAACUAAUUUUUGUAAGUUUAGUAGAGACGGGGUUUCACCAUGUUCGCCAGGCUGGUCUUGAACUCCUGACUUCAGGUGAUCCACCUGCCUUGGCCUCCCAAAGUGCUGGGAUUACAGGUGUGAGCCACCAUGCCCGGCUGUCAAAUAGGUGUUUUGUUUUUUUGUUUUUUUUUUUUUUUUGAGAUGGAGGUUUGCUUUUGUUGGCCAGGCUGGAGUGCAAUGGCAGGAUCUCGGCUCACGGCAACCUCCACCUCCCGUGUUCAAGCAAUUCUACUGCCUCAGCCUCCCGAGUAGCUGGGAUUACAGGCAUGCACCACCAUGCCCAGCUAAUUUUGUAUUUUAUUUUAGUAUAGAUGGGGUUUCUCCAUGUUGGUCAGGCUGGUCUCCAACUCCUGACCUCAGGUGAUCCACCCACCUUGGCCUCCCAAAGUGCUGGGAUUACAGGUAUGAGCCAUUGCGCCUGGCCUUUUUUUUUUUUUUUUUUUUUUGUGAUGGACUUUUGCUCUUCUUAUCCAGGCUGGAGCGCAAUGGCACGAUCUCAGCUCACUGCAGCCUCUCCUCCCAGGUUCAAGUGAUUCUCUUUCCUCAGCCUCCUGAGUAGCUGGGAUUACAGGCAUGCACCACCAUGCCUGGCUAAUUUUGUAUUUUUAGUACGUAUGGGGUUUCUCCAUGUUGAUCAAGCUGGUUUUCAACUCCUGACCUCAGGUGAUCCACCCGCCUCGGCUUCCCAAAGUGCUAGGAUUACAGGCGUGAGCCACUGCGCCUGGCCUGAAAAAAAUUUUAAAGUUUGAGAAAAUACAAAAUUUUCAUAGUCUCCAAGUAUUUCUCCUAAGAUCUUUCCCCCUAUGAGGGGGAAAGAUAGUAACUUUACAAUGGAGAAACCCAGCAGAAACCUGAACCAAAUGAACAAGUUCAACAUCAUCAGUAAGAAGAACUAUCAAUGCCAUAACUCUGAUGGAAUGCACUGGGAAGGAUUCCACAUCAUUUUUGUGCUGUAAUUGCCAAAAGUGUGUAACUUCAGUCCAAUCAUGGAAAUACAUCAGACAAACCCAAAUCGAGGAACAUUUGACAAAUAGUGAUCAGUACUGGUUCAAGAUGUCACGGUUAUGAAAGAUAAGGAAAGAUUGAGGAACUGUUAUUGCAGUCCUACAAAAUGGCGAGAGACUAAGAAAUAACUAAAUGCAGCGUGAUCCUGGGUGGAAUUUGGGAACAGAAAAAGGACAUUAGUGGAAAAAGUGGUGAAACUCCAAUAAGGUCUUUUGUUUAGC
Molecule: long non-coding RNA, 11351 nt
Filed under: Homo sapiens (human)
Lineage: Eukaryota; Metazoa; Chordata; Mammalia; Primates; Hominidae
Description: non-protein coding lnc-AGAP5-1:28
Source: RNAcentral